RNAcentral lists this ribosomal RNA (2883 nucleotides) under Helicobacter pylori UMB_G1. Its description in RNAcentral is "bacterial LSU rRNA". It matches the Rfam family "Bacterial large subunit ribosomal RNA". Lineage: Bacteria; Pseudomonadati; Campylobacterota; Epsilonproteobacteria; Campylobacterales; Helicobacteraceae. The record is from RNAcentral.
CAAGCUUUUAAGAGCAGAUGGCGGAUGCCUUGCCAAAGAGAGGCGAUGAAGGACGUACUAGACUGCGAUAAGCUAUGCGGAGCUGUCAAGGAGCUUUGAUGCGUAGAUGUCCGAAUGGGGCAACCCAACUAAUAGAGAUAUUAGUUACUCUAAUAUAGAGAGCGAACCUAGUGAAGUGAAACAUCUCAGUAACUAGAGGAAAAGAAAUCAACGAGAUUCCCUAAGUAGUGGCGAGCGAACGGGGAAAAGGGCAAACCGAGUGCUUGCAUUCGGGGUUGAGGACUGCAACAUCCAAGAAAACGCUUUAGCAGAGUUACCUGGAAAGGUAAGCCAUAGAAAGUGAUAGCCUUGUAUGCGACAAGGCGUUUUUAGGUAGCAGUAUCCAGAGUAGACCAGGACACGAGGAAUCCAGGUUGAAGCCGGGGAGACCACUCUCCAACCCUAAAUACUACUCUUUGAGCGAUAGCGAACAAGUACCGUGAGGGAAAGGUGAAAAGAACCGCAGUGAGCGGAGUGAAAUAGAACCUGAAACCAUCUGCUUACAAUCAUUCAGAGCCCUAUGAUUUAUCAGGGUGAUGGACUGCCUUUUGCAUAAUGAUCCUGCGAGUUGUGGUAUCUGGCAAGGUUAAGCGAAUGCGAAGCCGUAGCGAAAGCGAGUCUUAAUAGGGCGAACAAGUCAGAUGCUGCAGACCCGAAGCUAAGUGAUCUAUCCAUGGCCAAGUUGAAACGCGUGUAAUAGCGCGUGGAGGACUGAACUCGUACCCAUUGAAACGGGUUGGGAUGAGCUGUGGAUAGGGGUGAAAGGCCAAACAAACUUAGUGAUAGCUGGUUCUCUUCGAAAUAUAUUUAGGUAUAGCCUCAAGUGAUAAUAAAAGGGGGUAGAGCGCUGAUUGGGCUAGGGCUGCUCGCCGCGGUACCAAACCCUAUCAAACUUCGAAUACCUUUUAUCGUAUCUUGGGAGUCAGGCGGUGGGUGAUAAAAUCAAUCGUCAAAAGGGGAACAACCCAGACUACCAAAUAAGGUCCCUAAGUUCUAUUCUGAGUGGAAAAAGAUGUGUGGCUACUCAAACAACCAGGAGGUUGGCUUAGAAGCAGCCAUCCUUUAAAGAAAGCGUAACAGCUCACUGGUCUAGUGGUCAUGCGCUGAAAAUAUAACGGGGCUAAGAUAGACACCGAAUUUGUAGAUUGUGUUAAACACAGUGGUAGAAGAGCGUUCAUACCAGCGUUGAAGGUAUACCGGUAAGGAGUGCUGGAGCGGUAUGAAGUGAGCAUGCAGGAAUGAGUAACGAUAAGAUAUAUGAGAAUUGUAUCCGCCGUAAAUCUAAGGUUUCCUACGCGAUGGUCGUCAUCGUAGGGUUAGUCGGGUCCUAAGCCGAGUCCGAAAGGGGUAGGUGAUGGCAAAUUGGUUAAUAUUCCAAUACCGACUAUGGAGCGUGAUGGGGGGACGCAUAGGGUUAAGCGAGCUAGCUGAUGGAAGUGCUAGUCUAAGGGCGUAGAUUGGAGGGAAGGCAAAUCCACCUCUGUAUUUGAAACCCAAACAGGCUCUUUGAGUCCUUUUAGGACAAAGGGAGAAUCGCUGAUACCGUCGUGCCAAGAAAAGCCUCUAAGCAUAUCCAUAGUCGUCCGUACCGCAAACCGACACAGGUAGAUGAGAUGAGUAUUCUAAGGCGCGUGAAAGAACUCUGGUUAAGGAACUCUGCAAACUAGCACCGUAAGUUCGCGAUAAGGUGUGCCACAGCGAUGUGGUCUCAGCAAAGAGUCCCUCCCGACUGUUUACCAAAAACACAGCACUUUGCCAACUCGUAAGAGGAAGUAUAAGGUGUGACGCCUGCCCGGUGCUCGAAGGUUAAGAGGAUGCGUCAGUCGCAAGAUGAAGCGUUGAAUUGAAGCCCGAGUAAACGGCGGCCGUAACUAUAACGGUCCUAAGGUAGCGAAAUUCCUUGUCGGUUAAAUACCGACCUGCAUGAAUGGCGUAACGAGAUGGGAGCUGUCUCAACCAGAGAUUCAGUGAAAUUGUAGUGGAGGUGAAAAUUCCUCCUACCCGCGGCAAGACGGAGAGACCCCGUGGACCUUUACUACAACUUAGCACUGCUAAUGGGAAUAUCAUGCGCAGGAUAGGUGGGAGGCUUUGAAGUAAGGGCUUUGGCUCUUAUGGAGCCAUCCUUGAGAUACCACCCUUGAUGUUUCUGUUAGCUAACUGGCCUGUGUUAUCCACAGGCAGGACAAUGCUUGGUGGGUAGUUUGACUGGGGCGGUCGCCUCCUAAAAAGUAACGGAGGCUUGCAAAGGUUGGCUCAUUGCGGUUGGAAAUCGCAAGUUGAGUGUAAUGGCACAAGCCAGCCUGACUGUAAGACAUACAAGUCAAGCAGAGACGAAAGUCGGUCAUAGUGAUCCGGUGGUUCUGUGUGGAAGGGCCAUCGCUCAAAGGAUAAAAGGUACCCCGGGGAUAACAGGCUGAUCUCCCCCAAGAGCUCACAUCGACGGGGAGGUUUGGCACCUCGAUGUCGGCUCAUCGCAUCCUGGGGCUGGAGCAGGUCCCAAGGGUAUGGCUGUUCGCCAUUUAAAGCGGUACGCGAGCUGGGUUCAGAACGUCGUGAGACAGUUCGGUCCCUAUCUGCCGUGGGCGUAGGAAAGUUGAGGAGAGCUGUCCCUAGUACGAGAGGACCGGGAUGGACGUGUCACUGGUGCACCAGUUGUUCUGCCAAGAGCAUCGCUGGGUAGCUACACACGGAUGUGAUAACUGCUGAAAGCAUCUAAGCAGGAAGCCAACUCCAAGAUAAACUUUCCCUGAAGCUCGCACAAAGACUAUGUGCUUGAUAGGGUAGAUGUGUGAGUGCAGUAAUGCAUUUAGCUGACUACUACUAAUAGAGCGUUUGGCUUGUUUU